ACAUGUUUGAAAUAUUGAAGAUUCAAUCAACCAAAGGAUCAUCUAUUAAUGAUUUGAAGUGUUGAAGAUAGGAUCAAUCAUGCAAUCACUCAAGUAAAGUCAAAAGGAAGACAAAAUUUGAAUUAAAAUGAAUUAUUUAAAAAUGGAAAUUAAAGAGAAAAUUUCAAAUCAUAAGCAAAAUAAUGAAUAAAUAGCUAAGAAAAAUACAUAAAGUCUAAAAUAUUACUCAUGGAUGGAUUUCAAAAGUUGGAUGCAAAAAGGUUUGAAAAUGAUUAAAAAAUAAAUUUCAGAAGGAAAUUAAAAAGAAAAUGAAAUAAAAAUAACAAAAAAUGCAAAAAUGAUUUUAAAAAAUGGGAGAAAAUGUCUGGAUGCAAAAUAUUUUUAGAGACUUUGUGUAAAAAAUUUGGAUCAAAUUGAAUUAAAAAUGAGUGAGAAAUUAAUUUGAAAAUAAAUGAAAU
Molecule: long non-coding RNA, 458 nt
Filed under: Lathyrus oleraceus (garden pea)
Lineage: Eukaryota; Viridiplantae; Streptophyta; Magnoliopsida; Fabales; Fabaceae
Description: Pisum sativum (pea) long non-coding RNA (PSAT_LNC032259)
Source: RNAcentral